Molecule: long non-coding RNA, 1002 nt
Filed under: Oryctolagus cuniculus (rabbit)
Lineage: Eukaryota; Metazoa; Chordata; Mammalia; Lagomorpha; Leporidae
Description: lncRNA (ENSOCUG00000029948.1)
Source: RNAcentral
AUGGGCUUAGCAGACCCCAGAGGCCACCCCGGCCCAGAGCACAGAGGCCAGGCUGCAGAGCGCCCGGCUGGCCGGCUGGGGGCAGCUGUGAGGGCCCCUGCUAUUCCUCGGGCGCCUGGAGGCCACCCUCCCCUCAUCCCUGCUCCUGGAAGCUGCGGCUCCCCGCCUGCCGCCUCUUGGAUGCCAUUGCGCCCCGGAUGGACGGCCCUGGGGGAGUCAGCGUUGCCCCUGCCUUCCUCGGGCGGCGGCGGCUCCGAGCCGGCACGUUCCAGAACAGGCUCGCGUUCCAGAGCAUCGGCGAGCGGAGGCGAGCGGCAGCCUCCAAACAGGCCAGGCCCCCAGCCCCCGGCCCCCGGCCCCCGGCCCCCAGCCCCCAGCCCCCAUCCCCCAUCUUCCCUCGAAGCCUGGGCUCCCGUGCUUGCUGGGGAAGCACGGAGUGCAAGUGCCGGCCUUGACCCUAGCUCUGGGUCGCCUUGCCCCACCCGGCACUGGUUUUCUUUGGGGGUGAGGGGCAGUCACGUGCGUCUGGUCCCUUGUGAAGCAGCAGGCCUGGGGCCUGGGGCCCACCUGCAGCGGCUGCACCAGCCAGGCCCCGGCCUCCCUGCCCUGGUGACUGGGGCAUUGCCCAGGCCUCCCACCGCCCCUCCUCUGCAGCAAGAGCCCAGCCAGGACCCCCAGCUGGGGACGAGGGAGGCUGGCGGGCAGGGGCAUGGCCUGGCCCCGCUGCUGCACCCCCCGAGGGCGGCCCCAGUGCACCGAGGGGGCCAGUGGCUGGCGCUCAACCUGUGGCCAGUGCCCGGGACUCGUGGCAGGAUUCACAGGGUGGAGGUGGUGGAACCAGGCUGUCUCAGCUGCACGGCUGUCAUCUUUGUAACCACAUGGAGGAAGACAGCCAGGCCCAGGCGGCCCACCCUGCGCCCACACACUGGCCGGCACAGCCCCUUCCCUGAGCCUCAAGCAUUGCCCCCCCCCCCGCUCCCUGUACUUCCGGCCACCAGCUAG